Molecule: ribosomal RNA, 229 nt
Filed under: uncultured bacterium
Lineage: Bacteria
Description: partial 16S ribosomal RNA
Rfam family: Bacterial small subunit ribosomal RNA
Source: RNAcentral
CGCGUAAACGGUCUUGUCGGUCAGAUGUGAAAGCCCAGGGCUCAACCCUGGACGUGCAUUUGAAACAGCAAGACUUGAGUACGGGAGAGGAAAGCGGAAUUCCUGGUGUAGAGGUGAAAUUCGUAGAUAUCAGGAGGAACACCGAUGGCGAAGGCAGCUUUCUGGACCGAUACUGACGCUGAGGCGCGAAGGCGUGGGUAGCGAACAGGAUUAGAUACCCUGGUAGUCC